CGUCCCUUCUCUCCAUCCUUGUCUUUUGCCUACCCAUGUUUCCUCGGCAGGCUUGCCUGCCGGUUGGACAAAACUAUAACCUUUUUAAUUUUUAAUCAGCGUCUGAAAAACUUAAUAAUUACAACUUUCAACAACGGAUCUCUUGGUUCUGGCAUCGAUGAAGAACGCAGCGAAAUGCGAUAAGUAGUGUGAAUUGCAGAAUUCAGUGAAUCAUCGAAUCUUUGAACGCACAUUGCGCCCCUUGGUAUUCCAUGGGGCAUGCCUGUUCGAGCGUCAUUUGUACCCUCAAGCUCUGCUUGGUGUUGGGUGUUUGUCCUCUCCUUUGCGAUUGGACUCGCCUUAAAAUAAUUGGCAGCCAGUGUUUUGGUAUUGAAGCGCAGCACAAUUUGCGAUUCUGUCCGGUAAUACUGGCGUCCAUAAGCCUAUUUUACACUUUUGACCUCGGAUCAGGUAGGGAUACCCGCUGAACUUAAGCAUAUCAAUAAGCGGAGGAAAAGAAACCAACAGGGAUUGCCCUAGUAACGGCGAGUGAAGCGGCAACAGCUCAAAUUUGAAAUCUGGCUCUUUCAGAGUCCGAGUUGUAAUUUGCAGAGGGCGCUUUGGUGUUGGCAGCGGUCUAAGUUCUUUGGAACAGGACGUCACAGAGGGUGAGAAUCCCGUACGUGUCGCUAG
RNAcentral lists this ribosomal RNA (672 nucleotides) under uncultured fungus. RNAcentral describes it as "eukaryotic LSU rRNA". The stretch from base 437 to 672 matches the Rfam family "Eukaryotic large subunit ribosomal RNA", at positions 1 to 235 of the family's 3401-position model. The record is from RNAcentral. Lineage: Eukaryota; Fungi.